This 631-nucleotide unclassified non-coding RNA is filed under the name Bombus terrestris (buff-tailed bumblebee). RNAcentral's name for it is "misc RNA ENSBTSG00005023012.1". The record is from RNAcentral. Lineage: Eukaryota; Metazoa; Arthropoda; Insecta; Hymenoptera; Apidae.
AUCUUCGUAUACAUCGAUGACAACAGGAUGAUCUAUCGCACCAUCUUUCAAUUUAGCAUUCGAGCCAACCAGCAUCAAUACGAUCCUAUAAGAUCGAAGUAUCGAAGCGAUGGAAAGUUAAUUAUAAUUUUAAAACACCUUGUCAUAGACAUAUGCAAUUGUCGUUCACAUCGUGACCAAAAACAGCACUUUGCGAUUGAUAUUCCGUAGAUGACUUUAAAAAAAUCGUGAGAACCGGAAUUCCAAAAAAUGAAAGGAAAAUAAAACGAUACAAGCUCACGCACAGGUAUACGUAUACUUUCUUUUCUUUUCCUUUUCUGAUCAUUUCGAAACACUCACCUUGUCUCACUUGUCUUUCUUUUUCCGGUUUAUUUCUCGGAUUAAAACGGGAUGGACGACGAGAUUGACGAUUAAAGAAACGUGCUCACUGAUAGGGUUAUGAAGAGACAGGCACCUUCACCGUCGAUUAUAUAGAAAUAGUCCCCACCAUCUCGUAGAUUCAUCCCACCCUGGGCUACAAGGACCCAUCGAGACUCUUCUUAGCUCAACCUUAGUCAUAAUUGGCUUAAUAAUCGAGGGUUAGGUUUUUCGUGAUUUUCACGUGCUUUUGUCGCGUUUAUUGUUCGAGAAG